UUGACCUCAAAUCAGGUAGGACUACCCGCUGAACUUAAGCAUAUCAAUAAGCGGAGGAAAAGAAACUAACAAGGAUUCCCCUAGUAACUGCGAGUGAAGCGGGAAAAGCUCAAAUUUAAAAUCUGGCAGUCUUUGGCUGUCCGAGU
RNAcentral lists this ribosomal RNA (146 nucleotides) under Amanita longistriata. RNAcentral describes it as "partial 28S ribosomal RNA". It matches the Rfam family "Eukaryotic large subunit ribosomal RNA", at positions 1 to 143 of the family's 3401-position model. The record is from RNAcentral. Lineage: Eukaryota; Fungi; Basidiomycota; Agaricomycetes; Agaricales; Amanitaceae.